GUGCUCUCCUUUCAACUCAUCCACUGAAACACAGCUAGCAUAUACAUUAAAACUGGAACAAGGAGGGGAAGAUUAGCGUGGCCCUUGCACAGGUAUGACAGUCAAAUUGUGAAGUGUGCCAUAAAAAG
RNAcentral lists this small nuclear RNA (128 nucleotides) under Otolemur garnettii (small-eared galago). The record is from RNAcentral. Lineage: Eukaryota; Metazoa; Chordata; Mammalia; Primates; Galagidae.